GGAAUUUUGGACAAUGGGCGAAAGCCUGAUCCAGCAAUGCCGCGUGUAGGAUGAAGGCCCUCGGGUUGUAAACUACUUUUGUACGGAACGAAAAGCUCUCUUCUAAUAAAGGAGAGUGAUGACGGUACCGUAAGAAUAAGCACCGGCUAACUACGUGCCAGCAGCCGCGGUAAUACGUAGGGUGCGAGCGUUAAUCGGAAUUACUGGGCGUAAAGCGUGCGCAGGCGGUUAUGUAAGACAGAGGUGAAAUCCCCGGGCUCAACCUGGGAACGGCCUUUGUGACUGCAUAGCUAGAGUACGGUAGAGGGGGAUGGAAUUCCGCGUGUAGCAGUGAAAUGCGUAGAUAUGCGGAGGAACACCGAUGGCGAAGGCAAUCCCCUGGACCUGUACUGACGCUCAUGCACGAAAGCGUGGGGAGCAAACAGGAUUAGAUACCCCAG
This 440-nucleotide ribosomal RNA is filed under the name uncultured Comamonas sp. RNAcentral describes it as "bacterial SSU rRNA". It matches the Rfam family "Bacterial small subunit ribosomal RNA", at positions 358 to 790 of the family's 1533-position model. The record is from RNAcentral. Lineage: Bacteria; Pseudomonadati; Pseudomonadota; Betaproteobacteria; Burkholderiales; Comamonadaceae.